GGGGUUGUAGCUCAGUGGUAGAGUGCUUGCUUUGUGCUCAUGAGGCACUGGGUUCGAUCCUCAGCAUCACAU
Molecule: transfer RNA, 72 nt
Filed under: Ictidomys tridecemlineatus (thirteen-lined ground squirrel)
Lineage: Eukaryota; Metazoa; Chordata; Mammalia; Rodentia; Sciuridae
Description: Spermophilus tridecemlineatus (thirteen-lined ground squirrel) tRNA
Rfam family: tRNA
About the family: Transfer RNA (tRNA) molecules are approximately 80 nucleotides in length. Their secondary structure includes four short double-helical elements and three loops (D, anti-codon, and T loops). Further hydrogen bonds mediate the characteristic L-shaped molecular structure. tRNAs have two regions of fundamental functional importance: the anti-codon, which is responsible for specific mRNA codon recognition, and the 3' end, to which the tRNAs corresponding amino acid is attached (by aminoacyl-tRNA synthetases). tRNAs cope with the degeneracy of the genetic code in two manners: having more than one tRNA (with a specific anti-codon) for a particular amino acid; and 'wobble' base-pairing, i.e. permitting non-standard base-pairing at the 3rd anti-codon position.
Source: Rfam by way of RNAcentral